CAGAUGUAGUUUAGUGGUAGAACUCCAGCCUUCCAAGCUGGUCGUGUGGGUUCGAUUCCCAUCAUCUG
Molecule: transfer RNA, 68 nt
Filed under: Ruthenibacterium lactatiformans
Lineage: Bacteria; Bacillati; Bacillota; Clostridia; Eubacteriales; Oscillospiraceae
Also listed under: 1 other name
Rfam family: tRNA
About the family: Transfer RNA (tRNA) molecules are approximately 80 nucleotides in length. Their secondary structure includes four short double-helical elements and three loops (D, anti-codon, and T loops).
Source: RNAcentral